This 501-nucleotide ribosomal RNA is filed under the name uncultured bacterium. RNAcentral describes it as "partial 16S ribosomal RNA". It matches the Rfam family "Bacterial small subunit ribosomal RNA", at positions 29 to 523 of the family's 1533-position model. The record is from RNAcentral.
AUUGAACGCUGGCGGCAUGCCUUACACAUGCAAGUCGAACGGCAGCACGGGUGCUUGCACCUGGUGGCGAGUGGCGAACGGGUGAGUAAUUCAUCGGAACGUACCUUAUCGUGGGGGAUAACGCAGCGAAAGCUGUGCUAAUACCGCAUACGCCCUGAGGGGGAAAGCGGGGGAUCGAAAGACCUCGCGCGAUUAGAGCGGCCGAUGCCUGAUUAGCUUGUUGGUGGGGUAAAAGCCCACCAAGGCGACGAUCAGUAGCUGGUCUGAGGGGACGAGCAGCCACACUGGGACUGAGACACGGCCCAGACUCCUACGGGAGGCAGCAGUGGGGAAUUUUGGACAAUGGGGGCAACCCUGAUCCAGCAAUGCCGCGUGAGUGAAGAAGGCCUUCGGGUUGUAAAGCCCUUUUGUCAGGGAAGAAACACCGGCUCUAACACAGUCCGGGAAUGACGGUACCUGAAGAAUAAGCACCGGCUAACUACGUGCCAGCCGCCGCAGUAA